AGGACGAACGCUGGCGGCGUGCCUAAUACAUGCAAGUCGAACGAACUCUGGUAUUGAUUGGUGCUUGCAUCAUGAUUUACAUUUGAGUGAGUGGCGAACUGGUGAGUAACACGUGGGAAACCUGCCCAGAAGCGGGGGAUAACACCUGGAAACAGAUGCUAAUACCGCAUAACAACUUGGACCGCAUGGUCCGAGUUUGAAAGAUGGCUUCGGCUAUCACUUUUGGAUGGUCCCGCGGCGUAUUAGCUAGAUGGUGGGGUAACGGCUCACCAUGGCAAUGAUACGUAGCCGACCUGAGAGGGUAAUCGGCCACAUUGGGACUGAGACACGGCCCAAACUCCUACGGGAGGCAGCAGUAGGGAAUCUUCCACAAUGGACGAAAGUCUGAUGGAGCAACGCCGCGUGAGUGAAGAAGGGUUUCGGCUCGUAAAACUCUGUUGUUAAAGAAGAACAUAUCUGAGAGUAACUGUUCAGGUAUUGACGGUAUUUAACCAGAAAGCCACGGCUAACUACGUGCCAGCAGCCGCGGUAAUACGUAGGUGGCAAGCGUUGUCCGGAUUUAUUGGGCGUAAAGCGAGCGCAGGCGGUUUUUUAAGUCUGAUGUGAAAGCCUUCGGCUCAACCGAAGAAGUGCAUCGGAAACUGGGAAACUUGAGUGCAGAAGAGGACAGUGGAACUCCAUGUGUAGCGGUGAAAUGCGUAGAUAUAUGGAAGAACACCAGUGGCGAAGGCGGCUGUCUGGUCUGUAACUGACGCUGAGGCUCGAAAGUAUGGGUAGCAAACAGGAUUAGAUACCCUGGUAGUCCAUACCGUAAACGAUGAAUGCUAAGUGUUGGAGGGUUUCCGCCCUUCAGUGCUGCAGCUAACGCAUUAAGCAUUCCGCCUGGGGAGUACGGCCGCAAGGCUGAAACUCAAAGGAAUUGACGGGGGCCCGCACAAGCGGUGGAGCAUGUGGUUUAAUUCGAAGCUACGCGAAGAACCUUACCAGGUCUUGACAUACUAUGCAAAUCUAAGAGAUUAGACGUUCCCUUCGGGGACAUGGAUACAGGUGGUGCAUGGUUGUCGUCAGCUCGUGUCGUGAGAUGUUGGGUUAAGUCCCGCAACGAGCGCAACCCUUAUUAUCAGUUGCCAGCAUUAAGUUGGGCACUCUGGUGAGACUGCCGGUGACAAACCGGAGGAAGGUGGGGAUGACGUCAAAUCAUCAUGCCCCUUAUGACCUGGGCUACACACGUGCUACAAUGGAUGGUACAACGAGUUGCGAACUCGCGAGAGUAAGCUAAUCUCUUAAAGCCAUUCUCAGUUCGGAUUGUAGGCUGCAACUCGCCUACAUGAAGUCGGAAUCGCUAGUAAUCGCGGAUCAGCAUGCCGCGGUGAAUACGUUCCCGGGCCUUGUACACACCGCCCGUCACACCAUGAGAGUUUGUAACACCCAAAGUCGGUGGGGUAACCUUUUAGGAACCAGCCGCCUAAGGUGGGACAGAUGAU
Molecule: ribosomal RNA, 1484 nt
Filed under: uncultured organism
Description: SSU rRNA
Rfam family: Bacterial small subunit ribosomal RNA
Source: RNAcentral